GAUCUGAAACACAUUACAUUACAUUACAGGCAUUUAGCAGACGCUCUUAUCCAGAGCGACUUACACAACAUUUACAUAGCAUUUUUACAUUGUAUCCAUUUAUACAGCUGGAUAUAUACUGAAGCAAUUUCGGUUAAGUGCCUUGCUCAAGGGUACAACGGCAGUGUCCUACCCGGGAAUCGAACCUGCGACCUUUCGGUUACAAGCCCAGUUCCUUACCCACUGUACUACACUCUUACCCACUAAUUCCACUAUAUGCAAAUGUCAAUGUACUGAAAACUGUAUAAAUCUAAUUACGCAUGAGUACCUGUUGAACUUUCUCGCUGAGUUGUUUCCGUAGCUGGCUGUGUAAUAAAUCUUCCUGUUUUUACUACGAA
Long non-coding RNA from Anguilla rostrata (American eel), 377 nucleotides. RefSeq lists it as uncharacterized. The record is from RefSeq and is a predicted model, not a curated record. The transcript has 2 exons. NCBI's taxonomy places the organism in Eukaryota, Metazoa, Chordata, Actinopteri, Anguilliformes, Anguillidae.